Molecule: long non-coding RNA, 761 nt
Organism: Quercus robur (English oak)
Lineage: Eukaryota; Viridiplantae; Streptophyta; Magnoliopsida; Fagales; Fagaceae
Exons: 2
Source: RefSeq, a predicted model, not a curated record
UGUAGUGAAUCUGAAAGUACGACAUGUAUGUUGAGAUUUUGUGAAUUUACUUGAAACCCUUCUUGAGUGGGUUGACUUGUAAAUUCUUACAUUUUCUUCUACAUUUGUUUUACUUAGUUAACUUUAAUAAUGGUUUGGUUUAAUCUCUUGCAAUAGUGUAUUAAAAUGCUUUGGUUGUGUUAUGGUCUUUUGGAUCACUUGUAUGCUUGUCUGAUGUCCCUUGGGAAUAGGUGCCUUGGGAUAGUCAAGUUAGGCUUAGGCCCUCGAUUUGAUUUUAGGGGACCAUUUUCAAUUUAUGGAGACAAGUUUGAACGUACUUUGUGAUAGGCCUUGUUAUUGAUAGGUUUGAUCAUUGUAUUUCUAGGUUUCGAGAUUCUUGGUGAUGGACCUAGUAAUUGGAUUGCUUGCUUAGGUGGUGGUGCCUGGUUGAGGUAAAAUUGGUUGGCCUCCUGAGGCAUGGAGCUUGUUUUAUUGGUGGUGAUUGGAGCAUUAUGCUAAUUGAGGGAUUUAUGCUAUGAUUGAUUGGUGACUCAACUUUCUAAAUUUAUUGAGGCCAUAGCUAAUUCUAUCGAAGGUUGGGCCCUUGAGGUUUGUUAACCUUGGGCAUGGUAGGCAUAGAUUCUAUCGUCCUGGUUGCCUUUCCUUGGAAGGAUUGUGAUAUGAUGUUGAUCCAUUUGGAGUUUUGGAAUUCCGUGUAUAUUUGGAGACAUUAUUUGUAAUUCGUAUUGUUUGUAAAUGUGUUAUAGAGUUUUGACUUGUAA